CCCCAGCAAGCUCUGACGCGAUACUCGUAUUUCCACCCACCGCAGCCCUGGAGUUACUGCUGAGCUGUGCCAGUUUUUAUGUGUGUGCCAGAAAUUCGAAUUCAGUUCCUCAUGCUUGCACAGGAAGUCGAGGCUGACCUUUGCCUGGGAGGAGAAAGGCGAAUACAAGCAGCCGUGUGGCACCGUGUCUCAGUUUAAGAUCGACCGCCACUGCUGACAGUGAAUUACUGUCUCAACUGUCAGGUUAGCACAGGUCUGAAAGUGCAGAACACCAUGCGUAGAGAAGGCAGUGGAGAACAGGUACUCAUGUUUUGUUAAAGGAAAUGAAAAAUGAUGCAAUACUUGGAGAAGAAAUUUGAUAAUACUUAGCAAAAUUUCAUAGAUACGUACCUGUUAAUCCAAAAACCCCACUUCUAAGACUCCCUAGCAGACUGGGCAUGCUGGUACAGGCUUGCAAUCCUAGCACUUGGGUGACUAAAGCAAGAAGACCGAGAGUUCAAGGCUAGCCUGGGUUACUUAGAGAAACCCCGUCUCCAAAAGAAAAGAAGAAUCUUGGCAAAAACACACAAAAAAGGCAUCCUUAAUUGGUUGAAAUAAUAGGAGACUUGGAAUCCACAAAUCGAUUCAUCAUAGAUUGCUCUGAUCCAUUCAUAUACUGGAAUAGCAUGUACUUGUGAAAACAAGUGAGAAACAUCUCUGUAUACUGAUAUGUGUAUCAUAUAUGUUUAAAGUUGUAAAACUGAAAUUCCCAGAAAAACUGAAAGCUAUACCUAUGUUAAAGAUGCUAGAAGGCAGCUGGGAGGAGUGGUGCACACCUUUAAUUCCAUCACUGGAGAGGCAGAGGCAGGUAGGUAGAUCUCCGAGUUUCAGGACAGCCUGGUCUACAGAGCAAGGUCAGGACAGCCAGAACUACACAGAGAAACCCUGUCUCAAAAACAAAACAAGAACAAAACAAACAAACAAACAAAAUAGAAAAAGAACAAGAAAAAAAAAAGAUUCUGGAAGGAUAACAACCGAACUUCAUGAUUUUGGAGAGUGAGACUGUUGAAGACCAGGCAGUGGCGUGAUGUCUCAGUGAGUAAGAGCGCUUGAUGUACAGACGUGAGAGCCCGAGUUCAGAUCCCCAGCACCGUGUGAAAAGCCAGGCGUGGUCACAGGCACCUGUAACCCAGCACGGAGGAGGUGGGAGUCGGAUAUGGAAGUCGGAUAUGGAGACUGAUAGAGUCUGCUGCUCAGCCAGCCUAUCGAAAACCAGUUAGCUUCCGUUUCAGGCUGCUUUGUCUCAAGGGAAUAGGCAGAGAGCGACAGAGAAAGACGCCUGACAUCCCCAGCUGGCCUCUGUGCACACAUACAUGCAUGCCUGCCCCACACACAUACACAUACAUGCACACUUGUGUACACAUCCUCACACACACACAAAGAAUGUUACAGACCAGAGCAAAAUAUCUUGGGCUAUUUUUAGUCCUUUUGAAAGCCAUUUAUUGCCCAUUCCUGUGCCUGACCCAGUAUGUAUUCUUAAUGGACCACUAGUUUCCACCAGCCCCAAAGCUGAAGUCUGAGACCUGUCGUAGAGGCUUCCUUGCUUUGCUGUAGCCCGCCCACCUGUUGUCCCCACCAGUGUAAUUGCCAAUUGCCUUGACUUAUGACAUUGUUUCAUAACUAAUAAAUCUCAUGUAAUCCUUUGCAGUGGAAUGUA
Peromyscus leucopus (white-footed mouse) is the source of this 1696-nucleotide long non-coding RNA. RefSeq lists it as uncharacterized. Lineage: Eukaryota; Metazoa; Chordata; Mammalia; Rodentia; Cricetidae. The transcript is spliced from 2 exons. The record is from RefSeq and is a predicted model, not a curated record.